RNAcentral lists this ribosomal RNA (247 nucleotides) under uncultured bacterium. RNAcentral describes it as "partial 16S ribosomal RNA". It matches the Rfam family "Bacterial small subunit ribosomal RNA", at positions 1254 to 1500 of the family's 1533-position model. The record is from RNAcentral.
ACAGUGAUGUGGAGCGAAACUCAAAAAAAUAAGUCUCAGUUCGGAUUGAAGGCUGAAAUUCGCCUUCAUGAAGCCGGAAUUGCUAGUAAUGGCAGGUCAGCAUACUGCCGUGAAUACGUUCCCGGGCCUUGUACACACCGCCCGUCACACCAUGAGAGUUGGGAAUACCCGAAGCCUGUGAGCUAACUUUUAGAGGCAGCAGUCGAAGGUAGAAUCAAUGAUUGGGGUGAAGUCGUAACAAGGUAUC